GAUGAACGCUGGCGGCGUGCCUAACACAUGCAAGUCGAACGGAGUCCAGCCUUUAAGACCUUCGGGUCAAAGAGGGGAAGACUGAGUGGCGGACGGGUGAGUAACACGUGGGCAACCUGGCUCAUAGAGGGGGAUAACAGAGAGAAAUUUCUGCUAAUACCGCAUAAGCACACCCUGCCGCAUGGCAGAGGGUGAAAAGAGAAUCGCUAUGAGAUGGACCCGCGUCUGAUUAGCCAGUUGGCAGGGUAAGAGCCUACCAAAGCGACGAUCAGUAGCCGAUCUGAGAGGAUGAGCGGCCACAUUGGGACUGAGGCACGGCCCAAACUCCUACGGGAGGCAGCAGUGGGGGAUAUUGCACAAGGGGGGGAACCCUGAUGCAGCGACGCCGCGUGAGUGAAGAAGUAUUUCGGUAUGUAAAGCGCUAUCAGCAGGGAAGAUAAUGACAGUACCUGAAUAAGAAGCCCCGGCUAACGACGUG
This 478-nucleotide ribosomal RNA is filed under the name uncultured bacterium. RNAcentral's name for it is "partial 16S ribosomal RNA". It matches the Rfam family "Bacterial small subunit ribosomal RNA", at positions 28 to 507 of the family's 1533-position model. The record is from RNAcentral.